Molecule: long non-coding RNA, 1041 nt
Organism: Mesocricetus auratus (golden hamster)
Lineage: Eukaryota; Metazoa; Chordata; Mammalia; Rodentia; Cricetidae
Exons: 2
Source: RefSeq, a predicted model, not a curated record
GACCUGUCUGCCUGUAACUUUGCAAUUCCAAAGCAUCUUUGCAGAAUAGGGAGUUGCAUUACUGGACGCUGGUUCCCAGCCCAGGCCAUCUCAGAAGGGGACAUUGCUGUCAGCCCAGGCACUGAGGGUCACGUGACACUGCAACAGUUGGUGUGCACGUGUCUGUGCAGCAGGCACAGGCGUCUGUGGGGACAGCUUCCUUCUGGGCUGCUAGUGUGGAAUGACAGUUCACACCUGAACCAGCCGGCCCAGGACCUGGGACCCUGUACUUCCAAACUGGACACACUGGUACACAGGGAGGGAGUGUAGAAGUCUCCACACAUACUGCCUCAGAUAGACUAAAGGCUUGCCCUUCCCUCGAGGUGACCAUGGUGGCUGAAGGAAACGGUGACACAACUGUGCAGGUCAUGUCCGUCUGUGUCUCCUCACCACUGGCAUGGAAUACAGCUUUAAGGAGUGGCUGUCCUUGCAGUGUCAGGACUUUGUGGCUGGAAGCAUAACAUGAGGAAAGGAUUUCUUGGGACAUCGAACUCUGGCCACCUAAUGCUGCGGCUUUGUUGAUUAAUACCAGCUCUGUGGGCUCCUUUCCCCUGAUGACCUUAGAGGGUGGUGGGAAUUCAGUCUCAGAGAGGAGCUGGCACGAGUGUCACCUACUGGGUACUGUGGGGAGAAGGCCAUUACUGUUAAGUUAAAGCAUCUUCAAUAGGCAGCAUCCAGCCUGGGUGCAGUGUGGCCUCUGACAGCUACCCCCUGCCGACGUAAAUGUUUGGAGUUGCCAUGAUAGAAAGGAGCUAGAUUUAAAAGAGUCUUUCUUGGCCGGGCGUUGGUGGCGCAUGCCUUUAAUCCCAGCACUCGGGAGGCAGAGGCAGGCGGAUCUCUGUGAGUUCGAGGCCAGCCUGGUCUACAGAGCGAGUUCCAGGACAGCCCCCAAAACAAUACAGAGAAACCCUGUCUCGAAAAACCAAAAAAAAAAUAAUAAUAAUACUAAUAAAAGAGUCUUUCUUGGUACCCGAAGACAUCUAGACUUCAAUUUACCUUGCA